This 465-nucleotide ribosomal RNA is filed under the name uncultured Bacteroidota bacterium. Its description in RNAcentral is "bacterial SSU rRNA". It matches the Rfam family "Bacterial small subunit ribosomal RNA", at positions 40 to 500 of the family's 1533-position model. Lineage: Bacteria; Pseudomonadati; Bacteroidota. The record is from RNAcentral.
CGGCAGGCCUAACACAUGCAAGUCGAGGGGUAACAUAAAGUGCUUGCACUUUGAUGACGACCGGCGCACGGGUGAGUAACGCGUAUACAAUCUGCCUCAUACUAGGGGAUAGCCCAGAGAAAUUUGGAUUAAUACCCUAUAGUAUCAUUUAGAGUCAUCUCUUCAUGAUUAAAGGUUACGGUAUGAGAUGAGUAUGCGUUCUAUUAGUUAGUAGGUGAGGUAACGGCUCACCUAGACCACGAUAGAUAGGGGCCCUGAGAGGGGGAUCCCCCACACUGGUACUGAGACACGGACCAGACUCCUACGGGAGGCAGCAGUGAGGAAUAUUAGACAAUGGGCGAAAGCCUGAUCUAGCCAUGCCGCGUGCAGGAUGACGGCCCUAUGGGUUGUAAACUGCUUUUAUACAGGAAGAAAAAACUCUACGUGUAGAGUCUUGACGGUACUGUAAGAAUAAGGAUCGGCUAA